UGGAAAGGAAAAUGGAACUCAAAUGUGUUCAAAAGAUAUUGAAGAAAUGAAGAAGAAGGUUUAGAGUCUACAUGAAGAAGAUGAAGUUUCUAGUAGUUGUAGUUAUAUGUUCUUGGUUGUAUUUUGUUACUUUUUUAGAUGCGUGUAAUAAUAGAGCUUGAUGUAAUAAUGUAAUCUGAAAUAACAAUGGCAAUUAAUGUAAUGUCAUUUUAUUUUUAAUGAAUGAAA
Molecule: long non-coding RNA, 228 nt
Filed under: Lathyrus oleraceus (garden pea)
Lineage: Eukaryota; Viridiplantae; Streptophyta; Magnoliopsida; Fabales; Fabaceae
Description: Pisum sativum (pea) long non-coding RNA (PSAT_LNC007568)
Source: RNAcentral